Molecule: ribosomal RNA, 254 nt
Filed under: uncultured bacterium
Lineage: Bacteria
Description: partial 16S ribosomal RNA
Rfam family: Bacterial small subunit ribosomal RNA
Source: RNAcentral
UACAGAGGGGGCUAGCGUUGUUCGGAAUCACUGGGCGUAAAGGGUGCGUAGGCUGUCCGUUAAGUCUGAUGUGAAAGCCCUGGGCUCAACUCAGGAAUUGCAUUGGAAACUGGCGGACUCAGAGUACCGGAGAGGGAAGCGGAAUUCCUGGUGUAGCGGUGAAAUGCGUAGAUACCAGGAGGAACACCGGUGGCGAAAGCGGUUUCCUGGCCGAGUACUGACGCUGAGGCACGAAAGCGUGGGGAGCGAACGGG